GACGAACGCUGGCGGCGUGCCUAAUACAUGCAAGUAGAACGCUGAAGGCGGAGCUUGCUUCUCUGGAUGAGUUGCGAACGGGUGAGUAACGCGUAGGUAACCUGCCUGGUAGCGGGGGAUAACUAUUGGAAACGAUAGCUAAUACCGCAUAAUAGUAGAUGUUGCAUGACAUUUGCUUAAAAGGUGCAAUUGCAUCACUACCAGAUGGACCUGCGUUGUAUUAGCUAGUUGGUGGGGUAACGGCUCACCAAGGCGACGAUACAUAGCCGACCUGAGAGGGGGAUCGGCGGCACGGGGACGGAGACAGGGCCAAGACGCCUAAGGGAGGCAGCAGUCGGGAAUGGGCGGCAGUAGACGGAAGUCUUACCGAGCGACGCCGAGUGAGUGAAGAAGGUUUUCGGAUCGUAAAGAUCGGUUGUAAGAUAAGAACGGGUGUGGGAGUGGAAAGUGCACACGGGAAGGGAAUCGGACCAGAAGGGCACGGCAAACUACGG
This 494-nucleotide ribosomal RNA is filed under the name uncultured bacterium. RNAcentral describes it as "partial 16S ribosomal RNA". It matches the Rfam family "Bacterial small subunit ribosomal RNA", at positions 28 to 506 of the family's 1533-position model. The record is from RNAcentral.